This 253-nucleotide ribosomal RNA is filed under the name uncultured bacterium. Its description in RNAcentral is "partial 16S ribosomal RNA". It matches the Rfam family "Bacterial small subunit ribosomal RNA", at positions 524 to 776 of the family's 1533-position model. The record is from RNAcentral.
UACGGAGGGGGCGAGCGUUAUUCGGAAUUAUUGGGCGUAAAGGGCGCGUAGGCGGCUUCAUAAGUCAAAGGUGAAAUCCCUCGGCUCAACUGAGGAACUGCCUUUGAAACUGUGGAGCUUGAGGCCGGGAGGGGGUAGCGGAAUUCCCAGUGUAGCGGUGAAAUGCGUAGAUAUUGGGAGGAACACCAGUGGCGAAGGCGGCUACCUGGACCGGAACUGACGCUGAGGCGCGAAAGCGUGGGGAGCAAACAGG